This 12963-nucleotide long non-coding RNA is filed under the name Lynx pardinus (Iberian lynx). The record is from RNAcentral. Lineage: Eukaryota; Metazoa; Chordata; Mammalia; Carnivora; Felidae.
AGAAAAGGCCACUUGUGCCACUAUUAGGUUUUGCGGUGGUGAGUGCAUUUUUCCCCCCACACAGCGUCAGUUGUAAUUUUUUGUUGUUCCAUUUAAACUUUGAAUGAAAGUGUAAACACCGAGAGUUGAGGCCUUGUUGUCCUGCUUUUAUGCUAUGAGAGUUUCUCCCCCUCCUUUUAGUGACCUUGCUUCUCUAUUUCAGCUCCUGUCUGUCCUGUCUGAAGACAAGUUCCUUCAGGCUGCAGACCACUGCAGCCUCAAGAGCUGGGACGGUUAGAAGGAGGUAGCAAAGCCCCGUGCCUGGUGCCACUCCUGCCUGCGACAGGCCCUCGGUAAGUCAGGGUCACAGUUAGAUUGGGCUGUUGCAGGCCACUGUGGGGGCAUGCACUGGGGGGCCCCCUUGGCACUUGCCCGUCACACCGAUACCUGGCAGGCUGGCCUGCUGGGCAGAGCGCAGGAGCUUGGGGUGGAAGCUGCCAGCUCCCCACACUGAUCCCCUUUUACAGGAUUCCAGGCCAGGGCCAGCAGCCCUUCGGCACAGAACUUUCUGUACAUUCCACAGCAACUGAAAGGGCUUUUGUCCGCAACAGGAAGAACGAACGACAAAGGCAAUUGUGUGUCUCCUUGCAGACCUGCACAGCAGGCUUGGAAAGAGAAACUUCUUUCCCCAAGAGACCAGUUUGCCUGAGCGACUGCAAUCACAGAUGUGGUCACACAGUCACACAACACGGGAGCAGUGUGGUGUUCGAGUUCCCACGUGUGUGGCAGGGUGCUUAUAGCACGUACAGUACACACCCUCACACAUGCACACAAACCCCAACACACUGCUCCCAUGCCAGCCGAGAAGGGCUGUGAGUUACACGCCACAACUGCAAGGGGCCUCAGGAAGGCGUCCCGCUGACCCCUUCAGGAGCCAUCGCUUGAUUAUUCCUCUCUUCUGGUGGAGCCACAAAGGUCUAGAGGGUCCUAUGACUCGUCACAGGUCACGUUGUUCUUUUCGAGACCCACACCCCAUUCCUGUGAAGAACACUGGGCAGCAUCAGAGAAAGACCUGUCUACAAGAAGCCUAUCCUGGGGUCCCUUCAAACGCAUAGUUAUUCCUGGCCCAUUGAGUUCUGGGUAUAACUCCAGACCGCCCACAUAAGAUCCAUUACAUGGAAGAAAUAUUUCUCACCGGAGGAGAGUAGAUCUCUCCUUUUGCCAUUUUCUCCCUCCUCUUUUUCCCUUUUUCCCUGUAAUUGCCAUAAUAGGAGGCCAAAGGUUUGAAGGGUUUUAAAUUUUGUUUGUUAAAGGAAAAAGCUUUCCUUAUCAAAUGAAAUUAUUACGUAUCAGUUUAUUGCACCCUAUGAAUGGAAUAACACAGCCCAUUUCCCCUGCAGAUCUGACUGCCAGAAUUCUCAGUGCUGAGUUUGGUGGAUGGGUUAAAGCCACUUACUCAACCCAGGCACAUCUGCUUCUCCCAACAGGUGUCUGCCCUGGUGUUUGUUUUUGAUUCGUAUCUUGUCGCAUCCCAAGUUUUAACAUCAUAAGCAAUCUUUGUGCUAUGCAAAAAACUUUUAUUGACCUGGGAGAGUUGGGAAAUCUGAGUAUUAUUUCUGGCUCUGCCUGAAUGAUCAGUUCUACCUUGAGCAAGACAUCCCCUCUCUCUGGGUCUUGAUUUCCUCAUUUGUGAAACACGAAGACUGAGCUGUCUGUGUCUCCCAAGCUUGCCUGUCACAGCAUCACCAGGGGCUCUGGUUAAUUGUACAGAUCCCCAGGACCCUUGCCUGGAUGGCAGGGGAGGCUGGAAUCUGUAUCUUUAAAUCAAGCAGCCCAGUGGAUUCUUAUCUUCCAGCAAGUUUGGAAGACGCUAACACCAGAUAGUUGCUAUGGUCUCGUUCUGCACUAUGAUCUAUAAUUUAUAUAAAUAAUUUCUUAGAAAGAAGAUGCAAAAGGAUGAGGAUUUUGAAACUAUAUGUUUUCUAUUUGCUGGAUAUAGUUUAUUAUGAUCUUCAGUUUUCAUUUAUAAACACAUGAGGGGCACGCUUCAUAUUUCCCCACCCAAGUACUGGGUCUCCUGCCCACGCAGGCUGCGCUUCUUCAGGAGCUCAGCAAACAUUUCCCCAGACACUUGCAUGACUCCCCUCCCUCCACACCUUCCCCUGAGCGCUUGCUCAAACGUUACUUUGAGCAAAUGUGAGGCCUUCCGUGGGGCCAGUAUCACAGCUUCACAGCUCCCUCCUCGUUUCCAAUCCUCCUUAGCAUGCAUAACUGUGUAACCUCCUUAGCAUGCACAACUUUUUCUCCUUAGCAUACAUAACUGUGUAACCUCCUGAAUUUUCACUUAUCUAUCUUGUUUGUCAUCUGUCUUCCCCACUAGAACACAAGCUCCUUAAGGGGAGGGAUUUUUUGUCUGUUUUAUUCUCUGGUAUAGCUUCAGUGCCUGGGCUGGGACAUGGUAGUUGCUCAAUCAAUAUUUUUGUAAUUGGUAAAUGAAAUCCCUACUGGACGAAUGAAUGAAUGAAUGAAUGAACGAACGAAAUUCCAGAAAGGGUCCAGACGUUUAAUCCCAGGGAACAGCUUCUCCAUACCCAUGCCGGCUCCAGGCUUCCAGCAACUGUGUUCUAGUUCGUUGCUCAUUACACACAGAUAACAUUGGAAUCCCAUGAUUGAGGCUCUUCUUGGGAGGAUAUUACUCAAUCCUGCCUUGCUCCUGUGGGAUUGGCCUCAGGGCACACAAAGUUCCCCAGGCCCCCCACUCACAGCUUACUUCUUUAAAUAUUUUUUUUUCAACGUUUAUUUAUUUUUGGGACAGAGAGAGACAGAGCAUGAACGGGGGAGGGGCAGAGAGAGAGGGAGACACAGAAUCGGAAACAGGCUCCAGGCUCUGAGCCAUCAGCCCAGAGCCCGACGCGGGGCUCGAACUCCCGGACCACGAGAUCGUGACCUGGCUGAAGUCGGACGCUUAACCGACUGCGCCACCCAGGCGCCCCUCACAGCUUACUUCUUGAUGCGUGACCCUGACUGUGUCCUUUGACACAAUCCCCUUUUUUCUUUCCUUUUCCACGAGGAUCCACUGAGACCUCGGUCACCUUUGCUCCAGGCUGGGGUUGUCCACCUCCCAGCCACACUCCUGAACCUUUCUCUAAAAAGAAAAUGUUCUCGGGGCUCCUGGGUGGCUUAGUCGGUUAAGCAUCCGACUUUGGCUCGGGUCAUGAUCUCACAGUUUGUGAGUUCAAGCCCCGCAUCGGGCUCUGUGCUGACAGCUCAGAGCCUGGAGCCUGCUUUGUGGAUUCUGUCUCCUGCUCUCUCUGCCUCUCCCCCGCUCGUACUCUGUCUCUCUCUCAAAAAUAAAUAAAACAUUAAAAAAAUUUUUUUAAUUAAAAUAAAAAAAUAAAAAGAAAAUGUUCUCAUUUAACAGAGGGGAAAUGGCAGAUGCUGGGAUCCAUCUCCCAGCGGGAGGGAGGCCAGGCACCCCUUUAAUUUUAGUUUUUGAAGUAAACUCUAUACCUAGAGUGGGGCUUGAACUCAUGACCCUGAGAUCAAGAGUUUCAUGCUCUACCAACUAAGCCAGCCAGGUGCCCCAUUAGAAGCUUUUAAAAUUUAGCCAGCUACCACAGCUCAGAUUAACUACUUCCAAUUCCCUGGAACAGGGGUCUGGGCAUUAUCAUUUUUAAAGCUCCCAGGUGAUUUCAGUGUCCAGUCAGUGUUGAGACCUCAGGGCAGGGGAUGCAAGCCCCCACCACAUAUGCUAACACCUGCUCUCUCUGAAGCCCCUUUCCUGCCUCCUGGGCCAAGGGUUGCCCAGACCACAGAACUCUCUAGAAGCUGGAUUAACCCUUUGGGCUCUGCACUUCUGCCCUGAUGACUUCAGCAGCAACAGCCUCGAGGCCCCACAUGGGUGGUUCUGUUCUCCCAACUCUUCUCUCUCCCAGCUCUUCUCUCUUUUGGUGGAGGAAGGGGCAGGAUAUUAGUAAGUGGUUGAGGAGCAAUGCCACAGGUCUGGGAAUCAAGAGGCUUGGACUUUAGUCCUCUCUGGGAGCCCAUGUGACCCUGGCCCAGUCACUUGUUCCAUUCAAUACCUGUAAUCAGAUAGGUCAGUUCUGAGUUUCAGGGAAAUUCAUGUAUUUGUGAAGCGACCGCAUAUGCCACUGGUCCAUACAGUGACUUUGUGCAAAUCCAAGUGAAUUCUGGAUUUUGAUAGUCCCUCAGCUGCCUGCUCGUAUAUAAUGAACAAGUAUACCUGGCCUGAAUGAAACACACCUUAAAGGAAAUUUAAUUGGCGAAGAAAAUACUGGACCUGUACCUCCACCUGAGAUGAAAUGAUGGGUCUGCAAAUGGGAAAGGGUGGAGGAGAGAGGAGGCUCUGGGAUCUGCUGUGGAAUCUCUUGCAGCCUCAAAUGGCCCCUGUGCGGGGCUGGGACAGACCAGCAGCAGACAGCUCAGCAUGCAUGCUCUCAGCCAUGCAGGGGAGCUGAGACCUGGUUUGCAAACCUAGCAAUACAUGCUUAUGUGCCUGUGUUCACAAAGAGAAGCUGGAAAAUAAAACAGAUUUUUUAAAUGAAGAUUAAAUAGAGUCACUGAAGCUACAGAUGUUCACCUUCCAUCUGGACAUUUUGAAAUUGGUCAAAUUUGCUCUGAAAUACUUCCAUCCCCACUCUGCCUUCUCCCCUUCUCUGUGCCCUCUUGGCUUUUUUAAAUGUCCAGUGUCCCCAGUGCUCUGCUUACCAUUCUCCCUUUCUCAACCACCUCACCCCCAUCCCAUUCCCAUUCUACCCUUCCAGUUAACUUGAAAAGUUGUUGGAAAGACUACAGAUUAGACAGAUCUGGAUUCAAUUCCCAACUAACUGGGUGCACUUGAGGCAGUUAACAAAACCCAUUUGAGCCUCAGGUUCUUCAUCUGUAGAAUGGGGAUAAUGAUGCUUAGCUGAUAUAAUGACACUUAGUUGAUAGCGUUGCUGUGAUAAUUAAACAAAAAUAUACACAGAGUAUCAGGCAUAUAAUAGGUGUUUGAUAAAUGCAGACAGAUUCUACCAUUUUUCUCUCUGGAAAGGUGCUGCCCUUAUUUACUUAAGCCCUAGUACAAAUUUCGAUCAUAUCUUCCUUUUCCUAUACGUGUGGGUAUUAAUGCUUUUGUGGUUGUUGGGAAGCAUUGCUAUAUCUUGAGCAGCCCCAGGCAGCUCAUUUCCUGAAAUGCACUACUCUUUGCAAACACUCAGUCUUGGAGGGGCAGCGGCAGGGAGGCCAAGCUGUGUGGAAGAGGGCAGGGUGCCCUGGCUUUAUGCAUGCUUGACAGAUAGCCCACCGGGACAAAUGGUGUUGGGUUCUGAGGACACAUGUGUGGACACCCCCUUGGCCUCAAAGGCACAACAGGAUGCAGCCGCCUGCUCUUGAGCCUCAUAAGCCCUGACGAUGCUGAGGGCAUGCCCUCUGAAAAGCCAGGGUCUCCACGCCUCUCUGAGGAGCCCUGCCCACUAUUGAAGCUGCUCGUCAUUCUUCCACACCCCUGUCCUUUCCUAAAAGGCUCGGGCCAUAGGUUUCCCACUGACUGUCUAAAGUGAGCUGCUGACCUAGACCUCAAUACAGAGGGAGCACCGCGGCCUCCUUCAGCCUGGCAUCCUAGGCCUUGCCAAGGGAACAGCGGCUUCUUGGACGCCAAGAUGGAGAGGAAACACCACUCAGGUGACAUCGGCUCUCCUCUUGGGCACCUGUGGCUCCCAUGUCCGUGUGAGCACCUGCCCCCUUCCGAGGGCAGCCUCUUCUGUUGUCUCCAUUGUCCACUGUUCUCAUAGCCCCACACUCUGAGGCAGGACCUCCUAACAUUUUAGCCUUUGUUUGGAAAGAGUGUAAAAUCUCUGUGCAUUUUGAAGCAACAGAGCUGAGUCACAACCAGCAGAGAGCUCACUUCUUUCUGUCACAACGGACCAUGACUGUGAAGCCUCGUCCCCAAGGCACCUCCCCCUCAGCUUUCACAACCUUUCACAACCAACCAGUCCAAGCUUCUGAAGCUCAGGGUGUGUGGGUCAGAGCCUACUCGAUGCUAUGGUGGGGGUGGGCAUCUAGCCUUGUGCAGGAGACAGUAGUUAAAAUCUAUGAAAAGCUAGCUCUCCCCAGGAGGGAAGAACACUUCCUAAAAGAAGAAUCUAGAUGUCUUUCUCUGUUCUGUCAGUAAGUCAUUUCUGUUGUAGAUCGAAAGCAAAUAUAGGUAUUAUUAUCAAAAAUAAUCCCUUUGGGGUGCCUAGGUGGCUCAGUCGGCAUCUGACUCUUGAUUUUGACUCAAGUCAUGAUCCCAGUGUCGUGGGAUUGAGCCCCCACAUCAGAUGCCACGCUGAGCAUAGAGCCUGCUUGGGACUUUCAUUCUCUCUCUCUCUCUCUCUCUCCCUCUGCCCCUCUCCCCUGCUUGCACUCUCUCUCUGUCUUAAAAAAAAUCAUUUUUUAUUAUAAAAUCAGUAUGUGUUAAUUUGCUGAGAACCCAGAGAAGCAAAACAGAAACAUAAAAAGCAGCACAGCCCUCCCCCCCAUCUGCAUGUUUACAGUAACAACUACUUAUUGAAUGGUAUAAGCUAGGCGGAGUGCUAAGCCCAUCCUGUGCAUUUUUAAAUUGAAUCCACACAACCCUAUACAAUAGAUAUUAUUUAAACCUCCAGCAGAUAAUUAAACAGUCUCACAGAGGGUAAGUGUACAGUCAAUAGGGAACAGAGCUGGGAUGUGCACACACACCUCUCACCAUGGACUAGAAGACUUUAUUCUCUGUUAAGGGGCUUUCAGGCAGCAGAGGGAGCUGAGGAGCUCUUUCCAGCCCCUACAUCUCAAUCCUACAGCAGCCCCCCACUCUGGCAUUCCUGCCUGGUUGGCCAACUCUGCCCAUACCCACCUGCCCACCUGCACCAGCUUCUGCAGUCGCUUCGUCUUUGCAGCCACAGCAACACAUUUGCAUGUAGCCCCUGGGGUGGCCACACACCAUGGACAGAACUCUUCCUAUUAGGGCUGCUGAUACAGGAGUCAGAGGCCCUGCCCAUCAGUACCUUACAGGGUGACCUUGGACAAGAUCCUUGAGAGUUAUUAUUAUUAUAUAACUCUCAUGGGAAUAAUAGCAAUCAGUUUUUCCUGUGGUUCUAAAGGAGGUAAGGUAGGGGUGCCNNNNNNNNNNNNNNNNNNNNNNNNNNNNNNNNNNNNNNNNNNNNNNNNNNNNNNNNNNNNNNNNNNNNNNNNNNNNNNNNNNNNNNNNNNNNNNNNNNNNNNNNNNNNNNNNNNNNNNNNNNNNNNNNNNNNNNNNNNNNNNNNNNNNNNNNNNNNNNNNNNNNNNNNNNNNNNNNNNNNNNNNNNNNNNNNNNNNNNNNNNNNNNNNNNNNNNNNNNNNNNNNNNNNNNNNNNNNNNNNNNNNNNNNNNNNNNNNNNNNNNNNNNNNNNNNNNNNNNNNNNNNNNNNNNNNNNNNNNNNNNNNNNNNNNNNNNNNNNNNNNNAAUUUUUUUUUUCAACGUUUAUUUAUUUUUGGGACAGAGAGAGACAGAGCAUGAACGGGGGAGGGGCAGAGAGAGAGGGAGACACAGAAUCGGAAACAGGCUCCAGGCUCUGAGCCAUCAGCCCAGAGCCCGACGCGGGGCUCGAACUCACGGACCGCGAGAUCGUGACCUGGCUGAAGUCGGACGCUUAACCGACUGCGCCACCCAGGCGCCCCUAAACAUUUUUUUAAUAAAAAAUAAAAACCUACAGGAGGUAAAGUACACAAGACCAUCAUUACCGGUGGUUUAAAUGACAUAGAACAGUUACCGAGAAGGCAAGAAUAAGCUGUAUAAAACAUGUUCACAAUGUGUAAAGAGCAUUUGAUGACAUGAGACAAUAAGAACAGAUACAGGCAGACCACCAUGACACCGAAGGUGCCUUAGUUGUGGAACAGGGAUAGGCAAAUGCAUAUUGAUCAGAAAAUUUACCUCACAUGCCAACCCAGAGUAGGCAGGUUCCAUGUGACAUUGGAUGAACUGGGGGGCUGGAACCACCCCCCAUUCAAUGUGUGAGGGUGCGACUGAGAUUGGGCUGGAGUCAGGAGAGCCUGGGCCAAGAACACAGGCCUGGUUUUUCAUCUGGUGUGGCCCUUCCUGGAAGAGGCUGAGUCCCAUGAUCCCGGCCUGUUUUGGACUUUCUGGAACCUGGAAAAACAUCCCAUAGGCUUUGUCUCUUUGAACCUCAGAAUAAGAAGACUAAACAGCAACAAGAGAAGAGAGUGGGCCAAGGCUUGCAAUCUCCACAUCUAAGCACGUCAGCCCCACCAGCCCGAAGUGGUCAAAUCAAGCUGCUGACUUGUCAUCUCAUGGCCCUUCUGGGUCUCACAUCCUGCGGGCUUUUUUUUUUUUUUUUUUUUUUUUAAUGUUUAUUUAAAGAGAGAAAGCAUGUAAGCAAGGGAGGGGCAGAGAGAGGGGGACAGAGGAUCUAAAGCAGCCUCUGUGCUAAGAACACAGAGCCCCAUGAGGGGCUUGAACUCACAAACCAUGAGAUCAUGACCUGAGUUGAAGUCAGAUGCCUAACUGACUGAGCCACCCAGGCACCCCUGCCCUGUGGUUUUAAUAGCCAUCUCCUGCAACAGGAAGAAGAAAGUACCAUAUUUCUCCUGGGCUUUGACAGGCUCUUAAAACAAUGCUGUUUCUGUUUCAGAUGAUGAUACCCUGAAAUGAUCUGCCCAUCCCUACAGCUUCUCAUGCACCCAGUCAAUAAUUAAUUGACCAACUCACAUUCCUAGAAAGGACACUGUUGAAGACCCAGUGCUGUGUUGGGCCUAUGAGGUUGCUCAGAGGUUCACAACCCUGUCCCUGUCCUCAAGGAGGUUAGCCUCCAGAUGGUGUUUCAGUCACCUUGGAGCUCACCAUGGGCACAGGAAGAAAGAAAAAAAAAAAAACAGUACAGGAAAUGCCUUCCUUGGUGUCAGCCUGAGGACAUUUGCCUAUGUCUGGAAAUGUUUACAUGGGGAUUGCACCGUAUGGAGCAUUACACCACAUACAUCUGCCUUUGCAGUUGUAUUGUCCUUGCAUAUUUCCACGGGCUGAGAAAGGGAAGACAAGGAACGUUCCUGGGCUCCUCCUGUGGGUCAGCACUGUACCAACAGCUGACUGGGAUUAUUCAUCCUCACACUGCCUCGUGGGAAGCUUCAGGAAUCUGCUGUGCAGGGGGCAGAUCUCAGCUCUGAGAGGCAGGAGUGCUGAGCUCAGGGGGCUGAAGCUGAGAGUGCGGGUCUGUUAGCUAUUGGUUGUGGGGGUUAGCCAUAAGGUGACAAGGCAUGUUUCCAGCUCAUUAAGGGCCUUGGGUGCUGGCUAAGGAAGUUUCUCCUGGCUGCUGAGCUGAUCAGGUCUGUGGGGAAGCUCUGUGGCAGCUGUGUGAGGGCUGGCAGGAAGAGGGGGAGGGAUUGCAGAACAAGACUAGAGGAGAGGGCUCCAGAAGGGCAAAUCUGAUGUCCUUCUCCUCCUCCUCCCCACACACAGAAGAAUGGUCUUUGGACUCAAGUAAGUCAUUUUAGUAACCCAGCUUUAGAUUUUAGACCCAAGCAGUGGCCCCUAUAUUAAUUUGGAUAGUCAAAAUUGGCCACAUUGAGACAGCUGAGUGAGGGGAGCUUGUGCUGUGAACAGCAGCCUGGCUAGGUGACUGCUACGAGGACAAACGGAGGAGAUUUGGCACCAUGACUGAGGGAGCACCCGGGGAGAAGUGGGGGGAAGGCACUAAUUGAAGAUUUAGGCAGGCCUGGUUCUGAAAUCUGCCCCUGCCAUUUAUGAGCCAUAAGACCUGGAAAACAUCAUUUAAGCUCGUUGGUCCUCUUUCCCUCACCUAUAAAUAGAUUUCAUCAUCCCCCUCUUGCAUGAUUAUGGUAUUAGAGUAUUCAAAGUGCCUAGCACACGGUUGGCGCUCAGUGAAUGCAGCUAGUGUGACUUCUCCUAGUGGCUCCCCAGUGCUAGCCCCAUCAGCCUGGUCUGCCCUGUGGAGUAACAGUGCCUUUUAGUGGCUGAACAGGGAAUGACAGGUCUUCUAGGUGCCCGGGCCCUGCUUCUGCCCCACCCCACAUCCCACAGGCUAUAAGUCUCCAUUGUCCUACACAAUCAGAGCUGACAACAACUCAGACCCAGCCAGCAUGCACCUCUCAAAAGAGCCCAAACCCCACUCUGGUCAGCAAGGGACAGGCUUCGUUGUUCUAGUACUGGAGGACUUCAAACCCGGUGGGUUCUGAAUCUUGGUCUAGGAAGAAAACACAACCUUGAGUAGCUUGGGAACAGUUUUCUAGAAAUGGCCAUGACCUCCAACCCCUCCAACCCCACCCCGAAGAAUCGUGUGAGUUGAAAGCAAAAUUCCAGCUGCACAGCCAGGCAUUCCCCAGCAAAACAAGGAGGAAAGCCAUUCAACAAACACCAGGCACCGUCCGGGUCGCUGGUUCCACCAGGCUGCAGAUACCACCGCCAGCAAGCACAUAGCCCUGCUCUCCCAGGUAGCUGACCAUUUAGUGGGAUAAAGACAUCAGCCAAACAGUCACCCGGAUAUAUAACUGCAGACCAUAAUAAGGUCAUGAAGGAAAGGUUCAGGGUGCUGAGUUCACCAUGGACCAGAUAAGGGGCUCCCACAGGCCUCAGGAGCACCUCACUAGUUAAGGUGCCGCCCCUAGGCUCCGUGCACUUAGCAUAUAUUUGAAUGUUCACUACAUUUUGGAGGUGGGAUGACAUGGCUCUGUGCUGUCUACCCCUCAAAUUGGUAGACAGGAGUCAGAGAAGUCACCAAAGGAUGAACAGGCAUUAGUAAGUGCUGGUUUUUAAAAAGAGCAUGCCCAGAAGCAGUUCAAAGGUCCUGAGGUGGGAUCCCAUGGGGCAUCUUGGUGCACAGAAAUCAAGGGUAGUGGCAGUAACUCUGGAGCAAUAGGCAGGGGCCAGGCCAUGAGGCAUCGGGGGUCAUAAUCAAGAGUGCAGAUGUCACAUUUAGUGCUUCUGCUUCCCUGUCACCCACCCACCCACCGACCCCACCCGCCUGCUGGGACAGGCCCCUCAUGCUGCCUUCCUCUUCCCCUCACUGCCCAGGGUGCCUCUGUUAAGUCUUUUCUGGACUCCAUCCUUUUUUCCCUUCUCUCUGUAGCAACCUAUCAAAUGUGUCAGAGAUUUUUUUCCCUUUCUUCCUUCCUCUCUUCUUCCCACAGAAAAUCCUAAGUAAAAACUGGCAUUCAAAACCAAAGUCCCAUGCCUAAGCUGCAAGGAUUUCUUGCCAGCCCUGUGUGCCCUGUGCUAGGCCUGGGGAUGAGAGAGAAGAUAAGCUCGAGAAAAUAUGCUCUUUCCUUACCCUUAAGGGGCUUCUCAUCUUGUCCUGAAUCCAGAGACUGCCUCUCAACUAUGCACUACUACAUUCUGAGCCCUGUUGUUGGAAACAACACUUAUAAAUGCUCCCUCUCUUUCUGAACAUUCAGGUCCCCACGCGGGAAUCAACCUGGUGGGCAGUCAGUUCAUCUGGCAAAUGGCUUGAGGUACACAGGAAGGGGCACUGUACCUGGAGCCAAAUGCCUGGGUUUGUAACCUGGCUCUGCCAUUUUUCAAAACUGUGUGUCCUUAAAUUUUUUGACUUCUCGGGGCUUUGGUUUCUUCUUUGAGAAAGUGGGGAAUAACAGGACUUUCCUGCCUACCUUGCAGAGGGUUUACGAGGAUCAGAUGAGGCACUGCAGUGGUCCCCACAUAAGGCUUCUGUGACAGGUGGCAACUGUGAGGACAUUUUCACCAGCCCAGGGUGAGAUGAGGAAAAUAAGGUCAGCAGAGGGAGGCAUUCACAAAGGUAGAUUUAUUCAAGGGGAAGGACUGGCCAUUAUUCUGAGAUUGUGUCCUUCUUUGCAUUGAAACUGCAUUUGUUUCAUGAAAUGAUGUUAGAAGAUUUUUAUGAAUGUUUUCACUUCACAAAAUAAAAGCGUAACUAUUCAGUUUGGGGGGAAACUCACUGCUCUGUGAAAACCCAAAUCCACCCGAGUAAGUGAACCCUCUGCAAACCACAGGUACUACUCUUGCUGCCCCACCUCCUGGACUCCUGGCCACAGCCCUCUCAUCCUGGAGUUAAAAGCAAAGUUUCUGGAACCCAACUGUUAGGGCUUCAACACCGAUGAUACACUUUCUAGCUGUGUGUGAUUGUGGACACGUUGCUUAUGCUUGAGUUUCAGUAUCUAUAGUGAAGACUAAAUGUAAGGGACGUGAAACAGCGCGUGGCACCUAUGGACACCGAUGAAUGUGAGCUGUGAUUAUUAUAUUAUUUUUCCUCCCAGCCCCAGCUCACCAGGUCACAGCUGCCUGUGCCAAGCCUUACGUCAUUAUGCCCUCGGGUUCUCUUUCUCCAUCUCCAAGGCCUUUCUAGAUCUGCCUUUAGGGGCCAAGAAGCCAUUGGUUUCUCCUAGAAAGUUCUGGGAAGGGAAACAUACAGGACUGUUCCUAAUAAGCAGAAAGAAGAAGAGGGGUUUUAACUCUACUGUGAUGUGUGUGUGUGUGUGUGUGUGUGUGUGUGUUUUCCUUUCCAUCUAAAACUCUGUCCAUUGACUUGCAAAUGAGGAAUUGCUUUCAGGUUUUCAGCCAUCUUUUGCCACAGCUAAGCCCAGAAGUGAACUUGGAAGCUGAAGACUUGAGAGGGGCACGUGCUUGGCAGAGACCAGGUGUUUUGGUUUGUUUUAAGAGAAUCCUUUUUUACUUCGGUUUCCCCUUUACAGGACACAGACUCAAGACCUCUUCCACUUGUGGCAGACAUGCGUGCUCUCCAUCAUUCGCUAACAAGACGUCACAGCAUCUGUCUCCCUUGUGAUUAAAAACGUGCGGGGAGCUAGAACACACAUAUGCCUCAAAUGCUUCUGUUCCAAUAAGAGAAAACUCACAGCUGGCCCUGGGCUGGGGCCAGCCCCUCCAGAUCUGAGCAUAGGAAGACAAGAGGCUUGGUCCUGAACUUCCAGAACAAGCUGAAAACACCAGCUAGCCCCCGAUUCCACUCUCCGUGGGAGUUGGC